CUUGGUAGCAAGUACAUACGUACUGUCUGCGAGGCUACAACUCGCCGCCUGCCACUCAGCCAU
RNAcentral lists this transfer RNA (63 nucleotides) under Goggia hexapora. Its description in RNAcentral is "partial tRNA-Tyr". Lineage: Eukaryota; Metazoa; Chordata; Lepidosauria; Squamata; Gekkonidae. The record is from RNAcentral.